RNAcentral lists this transfer RNA (76 nucleotides) under soil metagenome. It matches the Rfam family "tRNA". From Rfam's summary of the family: Transfer RNA (tRNA) molecules are approximately 80 nucleotides in length. Their secondary structure includes four short double-helical elements and three loops (D, anti-codon, and T loops). RNAcentral also lists the same sequence under 1 other name. The record is from RNAcentral.
GCGCCCGUAGCUCAGCGGAUAGAGCGCUUGCCUCCGGAGCAAGAGGUCGGGGAUUCGAAUUCCUCCGGGCGUACCA